This 465-nucleotide ribosomal RNA is filed under the name Vreelandella stevensii. Its description in RNAcentral is "partial 16S ribosomal RNA". It matches the Rfam family "Bacterial small subunit ribosomal RNA", at positions 338 to 795 of the family's 1533-position model. The record is from RNAcentral. Lineage: Bacteria; Pseudomonadati; Pseudomonadota; Gammaproteobacteria; Oceanospirillales; Halomonadaceae.
CCUACGGGAGGCUGUAGUGGGGAAUAUUGGACAAUGGGCGAAAGCCUGAUCCAGCCAUGCCGCGUGUGUGAAGAAGGCCUUCGGGUUGUAAAGCACUUUCAGUGGGGAAGAAAGCCUUGGGGCUAAUACCCUCGAGGAAGGACAUCACCCACAGAAGAAGCACCGGCUAACUCCGUGCCAGCAGCCGCGGUAAUACGGAGGGUGCGAGCGUUAAUCGGAAUUACUGGGCGUAAAGCGCGCGUAGGCGGUCUGAUAAGCCGGUUGUGAAAGCCCCGGGCUCAACCUGGGAACGGCAUCCGGAACUGUCAGGCUAGAGUGCAGGAGAGGAAGGUAGAAUUCCCGGUGUAGCGGUGAAAUGCGUAGAGAGCGGGAGGAAUACCAGUGGCGAAGGCGGCCUUCUGGACUGACACUGACGCUGAGGUGCGAAAGCGUGGGUAGCAAACAGGAUUAGAUACCCCGGUAGUC